RNAcentral lists this ribosomal RNA (292 nucleotides) under uncultured bacterium. RNAcentral describes it as "partial 16S ribosomal RNA". It matches the Rfam family "Bacterial small subunit ribosomal RNA", at positions 505 to 796 of the family's 1533-position model. The record is from RNAcentral.
GUGCCAGCCGCCGCGGUAAUACGGAGGGUGCAAGCGUUAAUCGGAAUUACUGGGCGUAAAGCGUGCGUAGGCGGCUGUUUAAGUCAGAUGUGAAAGCCCCGGGCUUAACCUGGGAACUGCAUUUGAUACUGGGCAGCUAGAGUUGAGUAGAGGAGAGGGGAAUUUCAGGUGUAGCGGUGAAAUGCGUAGAGAUCUGAAGGAACACCAGUGGCGAAGGCGCCUCUCUGGACUCAAACUGACGCUGAGGUACGAAAGCGUGGGUAGCAAACAGGAUUAGAUACCCCUGUAGUCC